This 1060-nucleotide unclassified non-coding RNA is filed under the name Hevea brasiliensis (rubber tree). Lineage: Eukaryota; Viridiplantae; Streptophyta; Magnoliopsida; Malpighiales; Euphorbiaceae. The record is from RNAcentral.
GUAGAAUCUUAUAUUUCACAUAGCAUAACAACUAGACGUGACACAACUGGAAAUACAAAGCCAAAGACGCCCCAAGCCAAGAUUACAACAACCCUCUUCCAAGUUCAUCAUCUCCUCUCCAAAAACUGUGGAAAAUGACAAUAGUAGAAGAGUGUCUAUUUUUUUUUGAAGCUGCCCCAGCAAAAGAAGAACUGAGAAUAUAUGGACAAGCCAUAUCUGCAAGACAAUGGCAUAGAAAACAAACAUAAAUAGAAGGGUUAUACUCCUGCCGUAACUUCCACAAAUAUGAGUUAUGCAGGAGCAACCUAUCUAUUGACCUGACCUAAUACAACAAACAUAGUUGGCUUAUAGCCCUGCCAAAAACUGGGUCAAAUUAAUAUCAGUUAAUGCAGGGACUUUCUAAUCACACGAUAAUAGACAUAGGUGCCGUGAUCCAAGUUAAAAACAAUGAAAUCACAGCUUCUGAGAUAUACUUGAAAAGUGAUGGAACAAGGAAUUUAUCCAUCUGAAUUGAAGGUGCUGAAUGGUGAGGUUGAAGCAGUAGAAGAAGAAAUUCCUCCAUCUGCACCAUGUCCUCUGUCUCUUUUCAGAGCUUCCCCUGCCUUGGUGACCCAAGAGCUUACAGUUUUGGUCAAGCUUUGAAAAAUCUGAGCUUUGAUCUGGCCUCUCUUAGGAGGAAAGUUUCUUUUCUUGUCCUUCUGGGAGGUGGUAGAAGUGGAAGAAUUAGUCGACGUCAUCUCAAACUGGAUGAUCUGAAAAAUAAAAAAGAAAAACAAAAAACAGAGUAUCAAACAAAAAAUAAUUUCCCUUUUAAAAGGGAGAGUGAAGAAUUAAAAAAGAAACAAGGGUUUGAACUUGGUUACUCUGUAAACAAGCAGAGAAGAAGCAGUCUCUCUGCUGAAUAACAAACAGAAAAGUAAUUAAGUAAAACAAAUACAAAAUAUUUUUUGUUCUUGUAUAAAAUGAGGGAUAAUUGAACAGAAUUUUGCAAUCUGGAAGAGAAAUGGAAGAGAAUAGACCCCCAAAGGGGUGGGAUCUUGGGGUUGGGAGUUGGAUGGAG